Molecule: non-coding RNA, 224 nt
Filed under: Streptomyces sp. VN1
Lineage: Bacteria; Bacillati; Actinomycetota; Actinomycetes; Kitasatosporales; Streptomycetaceae
Description: Streptomyces sRNA 4677
Rfam family: Streptomyces sRNA 4677
About the family: Located in the intergenic region between anti-sigma factor SCO4677 gene and a putative regulatory protein gene SCO4676. scr4677 expression requires the SCO4677 activity and scr4677 sRNA itself seem to affect the levels of the SCO4676-associated transcripts.
Source: Rfam by way of RNAcentral
GGGGCCGGUGGGCCGCUGACCUCCUCAAAGAACCGGGUAGAGAACUACCCGCCCACCCACCCUCCACGCGCCCGGAGUUGGCCGUCACUCGUCCGAGUGACCCGCUUGCAGGCGCCCGAUUCGGGCGGCUACGUUCGCCGCAACGAACGCACACAAGUCGGCCCCCGCCAAGGAUUCGCAGUCCCGGCGAGGGCCUGACCGAUCAGGAAGUCGACACCUUCCCA